Molecule: ribosomal RNA, 736 nt
Filed under: uncultured bacterium
Lineage: Bacteria
Description: bacterial SSU rRNA
Rfam family: Bacterial small subunit ribosomal RNA
Source: RNAcentral
GUCCACGCUGUAAACGAUGAGUGCUAGGUGUCGGGGAGGAAUCCUCGGUGCCGGAGCAAACGCAAUAAGCACUCCACCUGGGGAGUACGACCGCAAGGUUGAAACUCAAAGGAAUUGACGGGGGCCCGCACAAGCGGUGGAGCAUGUGGUUUAAUUCGAAGCAACGCGAAGAACCUUACCAAGGCUUGACAUACCGAUGCUAGAUGUAGAGAUACAACAUUCCUUCGGGACAUCGGAUACAGGUGGUGCAUGGUUGUCGUCAGCUCGUGUCGUGAGAUGUUGGGUUAAGUCCCGCAACGAGCGCAACCCUUAUCUUCAGUAGCCAGCGAGAGAGACGGGCACUCUGGAGAGACUGCCGUGGAUAACACGGAGGAAGGUGGGGAUGACGUCAAAUCAUCAUGCCCCUUAUGUCUUGGGCAACACACGUGCUACAAUGGCUGGAAACAAAGUGAAGCGAGACGGUGACGUUAAGCAAAGCACAAAAACCCAGUCCCAGUUCGGAUUGUAGUCUGCAACUCGACUACAUGAAGCUGGAAUCGCUAGUAAUCGCGAAUCAGAAUGUCGCGGUGAAUACGUUCCCGGGCCUUGUACACACCGCCCGUCACACCAUGGGAGUUGGAAGCGCCCGAAGUCGAUGACCCAACCUGAGAAGGGGGGAGUCGCCGAAGGUGAAGCCAGUGACUGGGGUGAAGUCGUAACAAGGUAGCCGUAUCGGAAGGUGCGGUUGGAUCACCUC